CGUCACCACAGCUUCAGGCCUGGGGGGCUUCGGCCACUGAGAUGAGGGGUUCAGGCCAGGUUUCAGAGUCCCACCAGGCCUCCCUCUUGCAACAGAAGGAAAGUCCACACUGAGGAGGAUCAUGGCCUGCUACGGUCGAAGUGCAAGGCACGCGUCAGAAGCAGUGGCUCCUUCUGCAGCAGGACUCACCUACUGACUCAGAAGGACGUCCUCCAGGGACAGCCAGCUCCUCCUCUGAGCGCACAGCCCAUGUCCUCUGCUGUGCGCUCCUCGCGCGAACCGACCCCACCUCGGACCGGAAGCCACCUUGGGCUGGAGGAUGCCAUGAAGUCUCUCUGGUUCAACGUGCAUGCACCGUCUCACUUAACCUGGGUUACUCUGUAUGAGUUGCACAGAAAAGGCCAACAUGGACAUCUGAGGACAGACAGCACAGGAGUACAGGAACUAAUGCAAAUUGCAUGUGAAUGACAUCCCCAUGCAGGCCACUACUGACCACACUUACCCUCCCAUUUCACACACCUGCUUGGGACUAUCCUUCCUGGAGGCCACUGGAACUUCUGGAGCCACCUGCAGCACUUCUGAUGCAUUUCCUAGAAGCUUUUGCACCUGCAAGAGAAACGAGGUUGAAGCAGUGUUGCAGUGUUGGUAUUGCUGUGGUGUGACUUUGUUCUAGUUUAGGUUUAACAAAGUUAAACAAUAUACAUCCAGAUCCACGUUGAUAUGCUGGACAUAAGAUUGGGUUGUGUUUAGCUCUGAGUCACGCCCUGAAGAAACCCCUGCGAGGCAUCCUGUUUGCCUCUGUGAGUGGAGCGAGGGAGCCAGCUCCCUGAAUCAGCCCAUCUCCGAGGUGGCUCCGAACAUUGUUGCUGGAAGCUUAGAGUCCAGCCUUAUUCUCUAGUCCUUCCAACAAUUAAACCAGCUGAAUGUGGAUUCUCUUUGCAACUGAGAACCUAACUGACAGAGCUGGCCGCAUGUUCCUGGUCAUUGUAGAUCUUUGGGGAUGCCCAGGUGUGCAGAGGUAACUCCUGGUUGGUGACCCAUGAGGACACUUCCUAUGCAAACAUCAAGGAUGUCUACUUCGUGCCAUGUCGUGAAUUCUCAGGGUAGGUAAUUUCGACUCGUGGCCAUGAGCAAAAGGAAGCCCGAUGUGUUUCUGUUUAAGCCUCUCAUGAUUUUUUUCCACAAAUGCUCUCACUUGGCUGGUUUUCUGCAGCCAAACAUCAGACCUUUUACUGCACCCAGACACCUGGGACAGCCUUUUCCUCACAGAGGGUUGAGGUAUCCUUAUCUUAUCUGCUCACCCAGCAUGCACUUUCACCAGCAGCCCUGCUUGUGCAGUGAGCAGCCAACAGAAGCCUGCUUCCUGACGCUUCCGGCUCCUCCCUACAUGGGACUCUGAGGUGUUCUUGAGCCAUGUGACAAACCAACACUUCAAGAUGAACCCUCUGGGGCCCUGGACUCUGACUUAAAGCUGAGGAAGAGGCAUAAGUGACAUUACUCUUCUGGGUGGCAACAUGUGUGAAAAUUGCCCUCUAGGGAAAGACAACUUGGAUUGAAUCAAACGCUAGAGCAAGCUGCACUCAUUUGCCAAAUCCCCUAAACACACAUGUGAAUUUAUUUGUAUCUAAUUAUUGAUUAAACCCCAUUGAUCCCCUUCUUGUGCCCUCAUCCCUCGAAAGACCAUGAUGAUCAUCCAGAGAAACCCAGCCAGAGAAACACGGAUCCCGGGGCCUGCCUGGCUCUCAGCCCCACAGCUCGCUGGCAGGCC
RNAcentral lists this long non-coding RNA (1768 nucleotides) under Homo sapiens (human). Its description in RNAcentral is "HSALNT0296760". The record is from RNAcentral. Lineage: Eukaryota; Metazoa; Chordata; Mammalia; Primates; Hominidae.